This 497-nucleotide ribosomal RNA is filed under the name uncultured bacterium. RNAcentral describes it as "partial 16S ribosomal RNA". It matches the Rfam family "Bacterial small subunit ribosomal RNA", at positions 28 to 507 of the family's 1533-position model. The record is from RNAcentral.
GAUGAACGCUGGCGGCGUGCCUAAUACAUGCAAGUCGAGCGAACGGACGAGAAGCUUGCUUUUCUGAUGUUAGCGGCGGACGGGUGAGUAACACGUGGAUAACCUACCUAUAAGACUGGGAUAACUUCGGGAAACCGGAGCUAAUACCGGAUAAUAUUUUGAACCGCAUGGUUCAAAAGUGAAAGACGGUCUUGCUGUCACUUAUAGAUGGAUCCGCGCUGCAUUAGCUAGUUGGUAAGGUAACGGCUUACCAAGGCAACGAUGCAUAGCCGACCUGAGAGGGCGAUCGGCCACACUGGAACUGAGACACGGUCCAGACUCCUACGGGAGGCAGCAGUAGGGAAUCUUCCGCAAUGGGCGAAAGCCUGACGGAGCAACGCCGCGUGAGUGAUGAAGGUCUUCGGAUCGUAAAACUCUGUUAUUAGGGAAGAACAUAUGUGUAAGUAACUGUGCACAUCUUGACGGUACCUAAUCAGAAAGCCACGGCUAACUACGUG